CUUGGCGACCAUAGCGCUUUGGACCCACCUGAUUCCAUGCCGAACUCAGUAGUGAAACGAAGCAGUAGUGAAACGAAGCAGCGCCGAUGGUAGUGUGGGGUCUCCCCAUGUGAGAGUAGGACAUCGCCAGGC
This 132-nucleotide ribosomal RNA is filed under the name Salinivibrio sp. IB574. The record is from RNAcentral. Lineage: Bacteria; Pseudomonadati; Pseudomonadota; Gammaproteobacteria; Vibrionales; Vibrionaceae.